Dreissena polymorpha is the source of this 8811-nucleotide long non-coding RNA. RefSeq lists it as uncharacterized. NCBI's taxonomy places the organism in Eukaryota, Metazoa, Mollusca, Bivalvia, Myida, Dreissenidae. The transcript is spliced from 2 exons. The record is from RefSeq and is a predicted model, not a curated record.
UUUGCACGGGGUGUUCAUUGUUUGGUCAGUUCUACGCUAGACUUCGAUCAGUAAACUUGUGUUCGUGUACAAAUCCUACAUCGUGUUGUCGACUUUAGCAGAACACAGGGUGUCCAUGCUGCAAGAUUUGGAACGCAUCAUAGAAAAGAUAAGUUCUAAAAGAUACGUAAAUCUGUUAAAUCCGAUUUACUGAAUCUCGAGCAUAGUAUCGAGUGUUAAGAAGUAGUAACAGAGUUGAAACGAUGUAUAUUUCAAGUAACAAUUUCAGCACUAGAGAAAGCCGAUCAAUUUACAAAUAGAAAUACUGAUGGCACGUGACCGAAAUUUCACAGGUCAUUAAUGGUAGAACACGACAAAAGCUUUCGAACUUACUGGGGAAUAAAUUGCUAUUCUUUGUGGUGUUGUAUACAUUCUAUAUGUAUAUGUGUAAAUGUUUUACGAGUCUGAUGACGUAAUGUUAUUUGCAGAAAAAUGCAAGGUAGAGGCGAUGGCAUAUAAAAAGGCGGAAACAUAACGCCACGCGGCGCUCUUGACGGGUCAUAUCAGAACCCGGAAGCUUCAUCUAACAUCGCAACACAAGGGGCUGAAACUCAAUUACCAUUGAGACGCACAGGACUAUGUUUCGCAUGUGGCGAACCGGGUCAUCGGAAAGGAGCAGCUGGAUGUUCAGCAAACAGCUCGACCAAUAAGAAAUGUUUUGAGAGGUACUCUGAAGGAGCGAUUAGAGGGCUCGGGCUUGCAUGGGCUUCGAAGAGAUUAGAUGGCGGACAGAAUUGCUAAGUAAAUACUUAAAACAAUCAAGAGCAGACAAUACGGUGAAGAAAAGAAUUCUUCAUGUGCACAUUUCAAAUACUGUGAAGAAAAUGUAGUCACCAUGCCAGCCUUACAUAUAUCAGUAGUAAUGUACAUGGCUCAAUUGAUGGAUUGAGGAAAUCUAAUAACGUUUUUUACAUCUGUGUUUUACAGUAUUAAAUGGAUCCAUGCUAUUAAUAGUGUACAUGAUCCAAAGAAAGAUUUAACAAACUAUUAUAAGAAGCUUCAAAACGUGUGUGUUUCAAACCAUCUUACAAGAAAGAUGUAUCAUGGACAUGUGCAUUCAUUAGAGAUGAUAUAAACAUUGUGUUUGAUAUAAGGAGAUUCCAUUGUUUUCAUUGAUAGAUCAUUUUUGGGUUAUGCAUGUACAUGUAUCAUGCAUAUUAUCAAAUUAAGUGAGUUUCAUUGUAAUGACCUACAAUUGAAAUCUGAUCACUUUGUUAUUAAUGUACGCCAUUAUAAUACUGGCAUGUAUACGAAUGGUUCGGAUAUUAUAAUUGCAAAAUGUACAACUUCCCAUAUGGCGUUUUAUUAACAAAUAUGUAAUUAGCAAAUUGGUCAGAUGAAUCAAAUGAUUUUUUGUUCUAACCAGUUAUUGGUUAUAUAUAUGUAAUUAUUUAAACUAGCUAACGCCGAGGGCGUGUUUUAGAGAUGUUUAAAGCGACAUGGUCGAUGGAAGUCUGAUAGGGCUAAAGAUGGGUACAUUGAUGAUUCUCUAGACAAAAAGCUUUUUAUCACUAGACAAUUGAAAUUAUAAUUGAUUUGCGGUUCGAAUUUAAAACUUUACUAACCUUUGUUUUUAUUCUAUCGCAAGCCUUGCCCAAUGCAAAACGUGUUGUGUUUUGUGCUUAGUUGUAUGAAGACUUUUCAGUUCUGUGCGUUACGGAGGUUUUUUUUGUGCAUUUUUUCCGUUUUUUUGGAAGAUAAUGUAAUAAAUGUCCACACCCCCACACUAUACACCCCUCUUCACUCCACCCCUCCCUCCUUUGUGAUUGAAAUUGAGCGUCCCUUCACCUUAAAAAAGAAUAUAGAUGAGCGGUCUGCACCCGCAAGGCGGUGCUCUUGUUUGUUUUUCAUGAUAAAUAAUAAAUAUUUCAUUAAUAUAAUAAUGUAUUUUACAGUGUUAUUAAUUUCUGGUAUUUUAAAAGUAUUUAAACCGAAACUGAUAUUUAAGAGGGACAGUUUUAUUUUUAAUUGUUGUUUCUCUAGAAAAGUUGUCAAUUGGUUCCAUAUAGUUUGAAUAUGUUUACAUUCCCUGUAAAGGUGUUCUAUUGUUUCAAUAUGUUCACUGUAUAUAUCACAAUAAUUUGUGUUGGAUAGGUUGCACUUAAAAAGAUAUUUAUUUGUAGCUAUGAUUAUAUGGACAUAUUUAUAUUGAAGAUUUCUCAGUGUGCUAUCUAUAGUUAUUUUAUAUGGCAUGAUAAAUAUUUGUUUCCAAUAUAAUUCAUGUUCUCGAAGAAGGAUUUGCCAUUUACUUUGAAUUUUGGAGUUUUCUACAGGUUUUUUAAUUUGUAGUGUGUAUAAUAUUUUGUUCGUUUUGUUUUGUUUUGCAAGUAUGUUUUUUUACGAAUGAUGUUUGAGCGCAUGGUGUGUUAUUUGUAUCGGUUAUAGAUUUAACAUGUAUGGGUAUGCUUUUGAUUAAUGUGUAAUACAUAAGGAAAUUGCUUGAAGGUAUUCCGUAUAUGUAACAUAUAUAAUCAAAAGAAUAGAAGUCCUUAAUUCUGUAAUAGUACAAUCGGUCGACAUAUUUAAUGUUUCGUUCAAACCAAUGUUUAUAGAAAAACGUCUUAUUAUUUAAAGUUAUGUCUUUAUUGUUCCAUAAAAUAGUUCGAGGGUUUGGCGCAAAACUAUUGUAACUCUGAUUUUUUCUCAAAACCACUUUCCACUUAAAUUGUACAUAUUUUCAUACCCUGCAUCCAUAAAAAAAUAUGACAGUUAUAUAAUAAACAUGUAUAAUUUUAUAGUGAUCCAGCAAAAAUGUUGUAUCUAAAAUAUGUAAAAAAUGUAUUGCAACACUAUUGUAUUUCAAGAUACAUUAGUGUUGCAAUAACAUAUUUGAAUCCAAACAAAAAGUCAAUUUGCAAUACUAUGGUAGUUAUAUUUUCCUUUUUAUUGCAACACUAUUGUUACUCAAGAUACAAUAGUUUUGCAAAUUAAUUUGCAUGUAUUUUCAUAUAAAUAUAUUUUGUGCAAAACUAUUGUAACUUGAGUUACAAUAGUACUGAACCAAGUUUUACUGCAUUUCCAAUAUAUUUUCAGUGUAAAUAACAUUACGGAUGUUUGAAUUUACACAGGUACAUAAGUUUAAGUAUGGCAUUUCUGACUAUGAUAAGUAACAUUUUGGAUGUUUUAAUGUAUACCGGUACAUUAGGAUAGGUAUGGUAUUCCUGACAGUGGUAGAAAACAUUAAGGAUGUUUGAAUUUACACGGGUACAUUAUUCAAGGUAUGGUAUAUCUGACUAUGGUAACUUACAUUAAGAAUGUUUAAAUUUACACGGGUACAUUAGUCAAGGUAUGGUAUUUCUUACUAUGAUAAAUAACAUUAAGGAUGUUUGAAUUUACACGGGAAUAUUAUUCAAGGUAUACCGGUACAUUAGGCUAGGUAUGGUAUUCCUGACUAUAAUAAAUUACAUUAUUAGGAUGUUUGAAUUUACACGGGUACAUUAGUCGAGGAAUGGUAUUCCUGACAGUGGUAGAAUACAUUUAGGAUGUUUGAAUUUACACGGGUACAUUAUACAUUAUUCAAGGUAUGGUAUAUCUGACUAUGGUAAAUAACAUUAAGAAUGUUUAAAUUUACACGGGUAUAUUAGUCAAGGUAUGGUAUUUCUUACUAUGAUAAAUAACAUUAAGGAUGUUGGAAUUUACACGGGUAUAUUAUUCAAGGUAUGGUAUUUCUGACUAUGGUAAAUAAUAUUCAGGAUGUUUGAAUUAACACCUGUACAUUAGUCAAGGUAUGGUACUCCUGACUAUGAUAAAUAGCAUUUAAGAUGUUUGAAUUUACACGGGUACAUUAGUAAAGGUAUGGUAUUUCUGACCAUGAUUAAUAACAUUUAGGAUGUUUGAAUUGACACGGGUACAUUAGACAAGGUAAAGUAUUUCUGACAAUGAUAAAUAACAUUUAGGAUGUUUGAAUUUGCACGGGUACAUUAGUCAAGGUAUGGUAUAUUAUUAGGAUGUUUGAAUUUACACGGGUACAUUAGUCGAGGAAUGGUAUUCCUGACAGUGGUAGAAAACAUUUAGGAUGUUUGAAUUUACAAGGGUACAUUAUUCAAGGUAUGGUAUAUCUGACUAUGGUAAAUAACAUUAAGAAUGUUUAAAUUUACACGGGUACAUUAGUCAAGGUAUGGUAUUUCUUACUAUGAUAAAUAACAUUUUGGAUGUUUGAAUUUACACGGGUAUAUUAUUCAAGGUAUGGUAUUUCUGACAAUGAUAAAUAAUAUUCAGGAUGUUUGAAUUAACACCUGUACAUUAGUCAAGGUAUGGUACUCCUGACUAUGAUAAAUAGCAUUUAAGAUGUUUGAAUUUACACGGGUACAUUAGUCAAGGUAUGGUAUUUAUGACCAUGAUAAAUAACAUUUAGGAUGUUUGAAUUGACACGGGUACAUUAGUUAAGGUAUGGUAUUCCGGACUAUGGUAAAUAAUAUUUAGGAUGUUUGAAAUUACACAGGAACAUUAUUGAAGGUAGAGUAUUUCUGACUGUGGUAAUUUGCAUUAAGGGUGUUUGAAUUUACAUGGGUACAUCUGAGUAUGAUAAAUAACAUUUAGGAUGUCUGUAUUUACACCGGUACAUUAGUCAAGGUAUGGAAUUUCUGAUUAUGGUAUAAAUAGCUAUGGUUGCAAGAGGUUACAAAUAUCAUUAACUGGUUAACCUUUUUCCGUAACCGGUUAUUAACCAUAUUUUUUAGGGAUGGCAACGAAUACCGAUUUUGGUAUUCGAAUAUUCGGUCAUCCUUCCGAACGAAUAUUCGGAUAUUCGGUCAACAUCUGUUGGAAAAAAUGUCAACUUUGUUUACCGUACCAUUACUCCAUGAAUUCUACUUUCGUUUUACCGGAAGUGCACCGGAAGUGACUAAAUAUUGACACAGCGUUGCCGUCGAUAAUUCGAAGCUGAUUUUGUUGAUUACUUUUUAUUGUUAAAAUUGAAUGACAAAAACUGUUUUUAAACUAUUAAUAUUGUACAUCAACAAUAGAACGAGAAACAUAAUAUUACAUGACGACAAAAUAAUUACAUGACAAAACAGAACUUAAACGAAUUAUGUACAUAGCCACAACACACUUUGAACCUGAUUAACAGACUAAACAGUCAGUCUUUUAAAGUUGCCACGUUUAAAAGUCACUUGGAUCGGCGACUUCUUAUCGGAUGAUGUCGUGAAAUACUUCCAAGCAGCGGAAGGCGUAGGUGGAAUUUUGCUUGGACAGAGAUUUACUUUAUGCGUGUAGCAAUUAUAAUACUUUCAAUUAAAUGAGGGCGAACUACCAAAAACAUUUCUUUAAGUAUAAUACCUGAUUGAAUAUUGAGUAAUUAAUUAAAGUUUGGACCAAACGAUACGCAAAUACUCAUUAGAGGUUGAGUAAAUUAUUUUCUAAAAGCUUUUUUGAUUGGACAACGUGAUUAUAACCAUACGAUCUUUUUUGUUUUUCACACAAAGCCGGCUCUUCUUUAACUCAUUUAAUCUUUGAUCAUUUUAAAUGUAAUUUGAGUUAUUAGAUCGAGACGGGUCGGUGGUUUAUAUGCCAUACGGUCUUAUUUGUUUUUUACACCAAGUUGGCUUUUCCUUUGCUCAUUUUAUCUUUGCUAAUUUUAAAUGUAAUUCGAGUCAUUGGAUCAAGUUCAGGUCGGUGUUUUGAUUGCCGACGCGAUUUGCACCUAUCAUAAUUUUGACACAAAGUGUCUAUCUUUGUUAGGCAAUUAGCGGGAUUUAUGACCGGUAUACUGUCAUCACCAUAGCGACGCAUUAUCGCGCGUAGCAGGAAUAAACAUUAUGACACGAGGAACAACUUUUUUUUACAAAGUUUGAAGCAAAUUUCACGGAUACAAAGUCUUUGAAAUUACUCGAUUUUUGUAUUUUUUCUUUCGAAUAUUCGAUUCGGAAAACUGUAUCCGAAUAUUCGGUCCGGGACCUAAUAUUCGGAUAUUCGGAUAUUCGUUGACAUCCCUAAUAUUUUUUAAAGAUUUUUUGGUAGAAUAAUUUCCAUUUACUCGUGUUUGUGUUAUCUAGGUAUCUUUUAACCCAGCCGCAUUUUAUUGCAUUUAAGAAUGAGUCAAUGUCUGUUAAUUUGGUAUCUUCAUUAUAUACAGAUUGAAUUAACUGAGUUCGUUUAAUUUUAUCAGGUUUACCGUCCCAUAUGAAAUAAAAUAUUUCUGAUUUUAUAUCGUUAAUAAUAUCAUUUGGUGGAUUUGGGAGAACUGUUUGUACAUAAACUAAUUAAGGGAGUGCAAACGUUUCCAAUACUGUGUUUUUCCGAUUAAUAUAAGUUUACGGUGAUGCCAGCAUUUUAAGCAGUUUUUUAAUUUCUGUAAUUUAGGUAGUACGUGGUGGCUUCAUCUGAUGUCCAAUUGAAUUUCUUUUUUUUUAUGAUGGACAUUACUUUGUUUUAAUUUACCUACUCGUAGCACAGUUCAUUAACUUUUGUUUAGUUUAAGACCCGAUGUCGUUUCGAAAAGGGUUAGCGACUCUAUUAGGUUAAUGAAUGAGUCACUAUUGUCAUUUAAGAUAUAAGUUGCAUCGUCAGCAAAUAGGGACUGUUUAAUUUCGGCGUCACGUUCUAUGCAGACUUUUAAUUACAUAUCAAUUGCUAAUUAUUUCAUAAGUUUUGCAAUCAAAUAACUGUAUAUCUGUAUACAUAGUUUGAUAUAACAAUUGCAUUUUAGUAUAAUGACAUGCAAUGGGAAUACAACAAAUCUUUGAUCAAUUAAAAAAAGAUAAAGGAAAUAACAUACCGGUUUUUCAAUGUUAUAUUACUUAAGGUAAAUCUACUUUUGUAAAUAUUAAAGAUACAUGUCAUGUCAAGACUUCAGUGUUCAUUUUCACUUGCAACUGGAAUGUGACAUUGUAUCAAUGAUAACAUUAUUGUAAUACAAUCAUUUAUUUUAUGCUUACUGUUGUCAAGCAAAUAGCAUUAAAUAAAAAGAAAAUUUGUUUAUUUUGAUGGAAGCUUUAAAUUAAUUAAAUCUGAUGAGCACCAGACAUGACAUUUUCACCCAUGGCUUCGUCCCUCAUAUAAAUAUUGCAUCUGGUGCUCACUUGAUGACAUAAAUUUCAUCUUCCGCUCAAAAACAAAUAUCCCUUAUGUACAAAGCUAAUGAUUUCAUGAAAUCAUGUUAUUGUUCCAAUGUCCUUCAUGAUAUAGGAUUAUCAAGCUAGUUUGCAUAAUAAAUAUGAUAAUUGCUCUAUUUAAUGUGGCUGAACUUCAGAUUUAUGCCAAAAAUACUUUAGUUUGGAUUAAAGAUCAGCCCUGAAAUGGCUAUAUUAGACAAAAAAAGAGAAAAGGAAAAAACAAGUUUUAAGCUGGAUUCAAACUUGGACUGCACAACAGAUGCAAUUAUGUUUGCUGUUACUUGUUUCAAUGAUAAAGUAAAUGUAAUAAACUGUGGCAAAUCAGGUUACUUUAUGACAAAUGGUAUAGAAUUCCUAUUGAUAUGAAUGCAUCAAGCUUACCAGUUUAAUUUGCUUCUGUGACAAAAAUAUAGUAAUUCACUAAGUUUUGAAAUAAUAGUUUAAAACUUUAUAAUAGUUUGUUUGCCUUGGACAAUCGAGAGUUAACUUAAAGCUUCUGCAACACAUAUAAGGUCUUAAAGUUAACAGCAUGGAUCCUUGUGAGAUUGAGCGGAUGCGCAGGCUCAUCUUGACCCAUGCUGGUCGCAAACACCAAAGGUUGGUUUCCGCAUAGCAAGGCUCAGUAAUUCCUUACUAUUUUAGUUACACGUACUUCUGAUGACUGCCAGUUCCUAGGUCUAGUUUUAUUAUAAGACAUAAGGCUUUGUGAAAGUGAUCCCUGGUAGUAACAUGAAACACUAUCCUAAUACUGUUUACAUUAUAUCAGCUCAAUAAACUGUUGAUUGAAGUUAAAUGUCUUUUUGCUUGGGAUUCCAGUACCCUGAUUAUGGACACCUGUGUUAUUUUGUAAGGUACCAGUCUUGUCAGUUGUAAGUACCUGGCCAGUCAUGGUUUGCGUUUUCUAAAGUUGAAAUGAAACCAACCGCCCCAUUGAAGUAUACUUAAUUUAAUGUUAUUGAAAGAUUUCUUUUCUUCUUUAUAAUUAAAUUAUACAAUUAAGGUUAUAAACAAAAGGACAUGACCAUGUUAAAUCAUCCCUUUAUUACAAUGUUUCUUGGAUAUUGCAAAACCAUCAAAUUUUGAUUCAAGUUACAAUAGUUUUGCACCAAAGUAUUUUGGCUAAAGGAAUAAAUUUUAACGCAACAGUAUUGUAUCUUGAUAUUCAUCUAAUACAUUUAAAUGAAUCAAUAACUAAACAAUUAAAGUGUUAACUGUAAUGUUUAAAUUCAGUUUUAAAUACAGUUAUUUACUACCUGUUCUAGUCUGGUUUUAAUCAGGACGUGAAAAUUAGGGAAACAAGGAUGUUUUUUCCAUCUCCUCUAAAAUUCUCAAAAUCUGAGUUACAAUAGUUUUGCGCCAAACCCUCGAAUUGUCAUUUGUUUGCGCCACAUGAAGUUAUCGUCAUAUUGAUUUGUCACAAAGGAAACUGUGCUGAAAAUGUCAAAAUUAUCAUUAAGCCACGCUCUCUGAAAAUGGGGUUUACUGCAUGUGCAUAAAGUGUCAUCCCAGAUGAGCCCGUGCUGUCCGCAAUGGCUAAUCAGGGACGACACUUUCCGCCUAAACUGGAUAUUUGCGAUGAAGAGAUUUUCUUUAAAAGAAAAAUGUAAUAAAAGUAGAAAGUGUCGUUCCUGAUAAGCCUAUGCGGACUGGCUUUUCACAGACCACGGCCCAUAUGUAAAACGUCUAUGCUGUGGGAGAUGUACAAUAAACAGUAAACAUA